GUGGCUUAUGUCAUUGUGUAAAUAUUGUAUAGAUUUAGCACAGAGUGUUAAGAGUUUUUAAAUUAAUUUUGUUUUAAAAUGUCUGUUUCAUAUAUGAUGCGUUUAAAAACAGCUGCUUUCAUAGUUGUUUGUUUUCUGCUGUGGCAGGCACUAAGACAUUUUCCUUCUUUUUCAGAGUUCUCAAAUAAGCACUUGACCCACCGCUGGGAAACUGUGGUGCCAUCAGCAAUAGUGCCACCAAUAUUAGUGACUGUAUUCUAUGAAGCUCUUUGUCCGGACUCAAGAAGUUUUUUUACUAAACAGUUAUUGCCAACAUUUGAGAAAAUUCCACUUCUGAUACAAAUUAAUUUGGUGCCGUAUGGAAAAGCCAUGACAGAGACAGUGGGAACCAGCUACAGGUUCACUUGUCAGCAUGGCCCAUUGGAAUGCCGGGCAAACAAGAUACAUGCAUGUGCCAUUGCCAAGGUGACACAGCCUGAUAUACAGCUCAAGUAUAUAACCUGCAUGAUCAGUGAUAACAUGAACCCAGAGAAGAUUGGAGAAGAGUGUGCCCAGGAUCAUGAUGUGAGGUGGAAAGAAGUGGUAGGGUGUGCAGUGGGUAGUGAAGGAGAAGAACUUUUGAAACAACAUGGUGAGGCAACAAAUGCACUAAAUCCAAGAGUGAGCUUUGUCCCAACUGUUUUGCUGGACCAGAGCCAGGACAAUCAGCCUGGAAUACUGAAGAAUUUGUUUAAAGAGGUGUGCACACACUUACAGGAGCAGUUUUAAUACAGAGCUGCAGGCUUGAGCUGUCUCAAGAGAAUAGCAGGACAAUGUGAAUGAAGAGGAAUGGGAUUCUAGCAAAGAAAGAAGAUGGAAUUUUCCAACCUCAGUGCAGUAGACUGCAGCUGGUGCCAGAGUGUGGGUGAUGCCUACAGAGUGACAUGACAAACGCAUGCAUAUUCAUAUCCCUCCAGGUUCAUAUGGCUCUCCAUUUCCUCUGUAUUCACUGCAAGAACAAAGUCUGUACUAUCAGUAACAUACAUUUUUAGUUAAUGAAGAUGCUUAUCAAUCAGUCAGUCAUAUAUUAGUUGUGUUCUGCACUGAAGACUGUGCCCACAUAACAGUGGGAAAUGUGCUUAUGUCUCUGUGAGUGGUGAAGUUUUAUGUCCUGCAAAGAAAUACAUAUAAUAGAACUGUGUAUUACUUGUGUAAUUACAGUUUAAACUAUAUUUUACUUGAAAAAUAUGCAAUUUUUAAAAUACAUUAUGUGCGUAAUA
Molecule: RNA transcript, 1259 nt
Organism: Zootermopsis nevadensis
Lineage: Eukaryota; Metazoa; Arthropoda; Insecta; Blattodea; Termopsidae
Gene name: gamma-interferon-inducible lysosomal thiol reductase-like protein
Source: RefSeq, a predicted model, not a curated record